AGCAGCCGCGGUAAUUCCAGCUCCAAUAGCGUAUAUUAAAGUUGUUGCAGUUAAAAAGCUCGUAGUUGAAUUUCGGGACCAAUAUGUCGGUCGUGCCUCGGUACGUACUGGCAUCGUUGGUUUCUCCUUUCUGAAGAACCAUGAUGUCAUUUAUUUGGUGUCGUGGGGAAUCAGGACUGUUACUUUGAAAAAAUUAGAGUGUUUAAAGCAGGCUCACGCUUGAAUACAUUAGCAUGGAAUAAUGAAAUAGGACGUUUGAUUCUAUUUUGUUGGUUUCUAGGAUCGACGUAAUGAUUAAUAGGGAUAGUUGGGGGCAUUAGUAUUCAAUUGUCAGAGGUGAAAUUCUUGGAUUUAUUGAAGACUAACUACUGCGAAAGCAUUUGCCAAGGAUGUUUUCAUUAAUCAAGAACGAAAGUUAGGGGAUCGAAGACGAUCAGAUACCGUCGUAGUCUUAACCAUAAACUAUGCCGACUAGGGAUCGGAUGAUGUUAAUUUUUUAAUGACUCAUUCGGCGCCUUAC
This 520-nucleotide ribosomal RNA is filed under the name uncultured Glomus. Its description in RNAcentral is "SSU rRNA". It matches the Rfam family "Eukaryotic small subunit ribosomal RNA", at positions 569 to 1091 of the family's 1831-position model. The record is from RNAcentral. Lineage: Eukaryota; Fungi; Glomeromycota; Glomeromycetes; Glomerales; Glomeraceae.